UCGACGGAAGGNCCCUUCGGGGGUACUCGAGUGGCGAACGGGUGAGUAACACGUGGGCAAUCUGCCCUGCACUUCGGGAUAAGCCUGGGAAACUGGGUCUAAUACCGGAUAGGACCUUUAGGCGCAUGUCUUUAGGUGGAAAGCUUUUGCGGUGUGGGAUGGGCCCGCGGCCUAUCAGCUUGUUGGUGGGGUGAUGGCCUACCAAGGCGACGACGGGUAGCCGGCCUGAGAGGGUGUCCGGCCACACUGGGACUGAGAUACGGCCCAGACUCCUACGGGAGGCAGCAGUGGGGAAUAUUGCACAAUGGGCGCAAGCCUGAUGCAGCGACGCCGCGUGGGGGAUGACGGCCUUCGGGUUGUAAACCUCUUUCACCAUCGACGAAGGUUCGGGUUUUCUCGGAUUGACGGUAGGUGGAGAAGAAGCACCGGCCAACUACGUGCCAGCAGCCGCGGUAAUACGUAGGGUGCGAGCGUUGUCCGGAAUUACUGGGCGUAAAGAGCUCGUAGGUGGUUUGUCGCGUUGUUCGUGAAAUCUCACGGCUUAACUGUGAGCGUGCGGGCGAUACGGGCAGACUAGAGUACUGCAGGGGAGACUGGAAUUCCUGGUGUAGCGGUGGAAUGCGCAGAUAUCAGGAGGAACACCGGUGGCGAANGCGGGUCUCUGGGCAGUAACUGACGCUGANGAGCGAAAGCGUGGGGAGCGAACAGGAUUAGAUACCCUGGUAGUCCACGCCGUAAACGGUGGGUACUAGGUGUGGGUUUCCUUCCUUGGGAUCCGUGCCGUANCUAACGCAUUAAGUACCCCGCCNGGGGAGUACGGCCGCAAGGCUAAAACUCAAAGGAAUUGACGGGGGCCCGCACAANCGGCGGANCAUGUGGNUUAAUUCGAUGCAACGCGAANAACCUUACCUGGGUUUGANNUGCACAGGACGCGUCUAGAGAUAGGCGUUCCCUUGUGGCCUGUGUGCNGNGNGCAUGGNUGNCGUCAGCUCGUGUCNNGAGAUGNUGGGUUAAGUCCCGCAACNAGCNCAACC
RNAcentral lists this ribosomal RNA (1034 nucleotides) under Mycobacterium intracellulare subsp. chimaera. Its description in RNAcentral is "partial 16S ribosomal RNA". It matches the Rfam family "Bacterial small subunit ribosomal RNA", at positions 62 to 1103 of the family's 1533-position model. The record is from RNAcentral. Lineage: Bacteria; Bacillati; Actinomycetota; Actinomycetes; Mycobacteriales; Mycobacteriaceae.